UAGAGUUUGAUCCUGGCCUCAGAGUGAACGCAUGGCGGCAUGGUUAAGACAUGCAAGCUCGAACGAGAAGCAAAACUUCGGUUUUGUGGACAGUGGCGAACGGGUGCGUAACACGUGAGCAACCUGCCCCUAAGUACGGAAUAGCCCACCGAAAGGUGGAUUAAUACCGCAUGUGUCCCUUUUUCGCAUGGAGAAGUGGAUAAAGCUUGUAAUGGCGCUUAGGGAUGGGCUCGCGGCCUAUCAGCUUGUUGGUGAGGUAACGGCUCACCAAGGCUAAGACGGGUAGCUGUUCUGAGAGGAUGAUCAGCCACACCGGGACUGAGACACGGCCCGGACACCUACGGGUGGCAGCGGUUUCCAAUCAUUCACAAUGGGCGAAAGCCUGAUGAUGCAAUGCCGCGUGGAGGAUGACGGCCUUAGGUUGUAAACUCCUGUCAUUAGGGAACAACAAGUAGGUUCAUAGCCUACUCUGAGUUAACCUAAAGAGGAAGAGGUGGCUAACUCCGUGCCAGCAGCCGCGGUAAUACGGAGACCUCGAACGUUACUCGGAUUUACUGGGCGUAAAGGGUGAGCAGGCGGCCAGGUGUGUUAGGUGUGAAAUCCCGAGGCUUAACCUCGGAACUGCGCCUAAAACUACCUGGCUAGAGUCUCGGAGAGGACAGUGGAAUUCUAGGUGUAGCGGUGAAAUGC
Molecule: ribosomal RNA, 690 nt
Filed under: uncultured Verrucomicrobiota bacterium
Lineage: Bacteria; Pseudomonadati; Verrucomicrobiota
Description: bacterial SSU rRNA
Rfam family: Bacterial small subunit ribosomal RNA
Source: RNAcentral